GACGUAGGGGGCAAGCGUUGUCCGGAAUUAUUGGGCGUAAAGAGCGCGUAGGCGGUAUUAUAAGUUAGAUGUAAAAGACUAGGGCUCAACCUUAGGGGAGCAUUUAAUACUGUAAUACUAGAGAGCGGUAGAGGUAUGUGGAAUUUCCGGUGUAGCGGUGGAAUGCGUAGAGAUCGGGAGGAACACCAGUGGCGAAGGCGAGAUACUGGGUCGCGACUGACGCUGAUGCGCGAGAGCGUGGGGAGCGAACAGG
Molecule: ribosomal RNA, 253 nt
Filed under: uncultured bacterium
Lineage: Bacteria
Description: partial 16S ribosomal RNA
Rfam family: Bacterial small subunit ribosomal RNA
Source: RNAcentral